This 490-nucleotide ribosomal RNA is filed under the name uncultured bacterium. RNAcentral's name for it is "partial 16S ribosomal RNA". It matches the Rfam family "Bacterial small subunit ribosomal RNA", at positions 30 to 507 of the family's 1533-position model. The record is from RNAcentral.
AUUGAACGCUGGCGGCAUGCUUUACACAUGCAAGUCGAACGGCAGCGGGGUAGUGCUUGCACUACUGCCGGCGAGUGGCGAACGGGUGAGUAAUAUAUCGGAACGUACCGAGUAAUGGGGGAUAACCAAUCGAAAGAUUGGCUAAUACCGCAUACGUCCUGAGGGAGAAAGCGGGGGAUCGCAAGACCUCGCGUUAUUCGAGCGGCCGAUAACUGAUUAGCUAGUUGGUGGGGUAAAGGCCUACCAAGGCGACGAUCAGUAGCGGGUCUGAGAGGACGAUCCGCCAAACUGGGACUGAGACACGGCCCAGACUCCUACGGGAGGCAGCAGUGGGGAAUUUUGGACAAUGGGGGCAACCCUGAUCCAGCCAUGCCGCGUGUAUGAAGAAGACCUUCGGGUUGUAAAGUACUUUUGUUAGGGAAGAAAAGGGAAGUGCUAAUACCACUUUUUGCUGACGGUACCUAAAGAAUAAGCACCGGCUAACUACGUG